AGGAUAAACGCUGGCGGCGUGCCUAACACAUGCAAGUCGAACGUCUCUUCUUUCGGGAAGAGGAGUGGCGGACGGGUGAGGAACACGUGGGAACCUGCCCUACAGUGAGGAAUACCGGCGAGAAAUCGCCGACAAGACCGCAUAGCCCUCUCUGGUGAGAGCCAGAGAAGGAAAGCUUCGCAAGAGGCGCUGGAGGAGGGGCCUGCGUCCGAUUAGCUAGUUGGUGGGGUAAGAGCCUACCAAGGCGUCGAUCGGUAGCUGGUCUGAGAGGACGAUCAGCCACACUGGGAUUGAGAACGGCCCAGACUCCUACGGGGGGCAGCAGUGAGGAAUUUUCGGCAAUGGGGGAAACCCUGACCGAGCAACGCCGCGUGCAGGAAGACGGCCUCGGUUGUAACUGCUUUCUUUGGGACGAGCAAGGACGGUACCAGAGGAAUCAGCCCGGCUCACUACGUGCCAGCAGCCGC
This 467-nucleotide ribosomal RNA is filed under the name uncultured bacterium. RNAcentral describes it as "SSU rRNA". It matches the Rfam family "Bacterial small subunit ribosomal RNA", at positions 26 to 518 of the family's 1533-position model. The record is from RNAcentral.